UCUACGGGUGGCAGCAGUGAGGAAUAUUGGUCAAUGGUCGAGAGGCUGAACCAGCCAAGUCGCGUGAGGGAAGAAUGUCCUAUGGAUUGUAAACCUCUUUUGUCAGGGAGCAAAGUCACCCACGUGUGGGUGUUGGAGAGUACCUGAAGAAAAAGCAUCGGCUAACUCCGUGCCAGCAGCCGCGGUAAUACGGAGGAUGCGAGCGUUAUCCGGAUUUAUUGGGUGUAAAGGGUGCGUAGGCGGGUUAUCAAGUCAGCGGUAAAAUCGUGGAGCUAAACUUCAUCAAGCCGUUGAAACUGAAGAUCUGGAGUGGGCGAGAAGUAUGUGGAAUGCGUGGUGUCGCGGUGAAAUGCAUAGAUAUCACGCAGAACUCCGAUUGCGAAGGCAGCUCACUGGACUGCAACUGACACUGAUGCUCGAAAGUGUGGGUAUCAAACAGGAUUAGAUACCCCUGUAGUC
RNAcentral lists this ribosomal RNA (459 nucleotides) under uncultured bacterium. RNAcentral's name for it is "partial 16S ribosomal RNA". It matches the Rfam family "Bacterial small subunit ribosomal RNA", at positions 338 to 795 of the family's 1533-position model. The record is from RNAcentral.